UGGGGAAUAUUGCACAAUGGGCGCAAGCCUGAUGCAGCCAUGCCGCGUGUGUGAAGAAGGCCUUCGGGUUGUAAAGCACUUUCAGCGGGGAGGAAGGCGUUAAGGUUAAUAACCUUGGCGAUUGACGUUACCCGCAGAAGAAGCACCGGCUAACUCCGUGCCAGCAGCCGCGGUAAUACGGAGGGUGCAAGCGUUAAUCGGAAUUACUGGGCGUAAAGCGCACGCAGGCGGUCUGUCAAGUCGGAUGUGAAAUCCCCGGGCUCAACCUGGGAACUGCAUUCGAAACUGGCAGGCUAGAGUCUUGUAGAGGGGGGUAGAAUUCCAGGUGUAGCGGUGAAAUGCGUAGAGAUCUGGAGGAAUACCGGUGGCGAAGGCGGCCCCCUGGACAAAGACUGACGCUAAGGUGCGAAAGCGUGGGGAGCAAACAGG
RNAcentral lists this ribosomal RNA (429 nucleotides) under Chloroflexota bacterium. Its description in RNAcentral is "Chloroflexi bacterium partial 16S ribosomal RNA". It matches the Rfam family "Bacterial small subunit ribosomal RNA", at positions 355 to 776 of the family's 1533-position model. Lineage: Bacteria; Bacillati; Chloroflexota. The record is from RNAcentral.